RNAcentral lists this ribosomal RNA (914 nucleotides) under uncultured marine archaeon. Its description in RNAcentral is "bacterial SSU rRNA". It matches the Rfam family "Archaeal small subunit ribosomal RNA", at positions 1 to 922 of the family's 1478-position model. The record is from RNAcentral.
UUCCGGUUGAUCCCGCCGGACCUGACUGCUAUCGGAUUGAUACUAAGCCAUGCGAGUCUUUGCAGUAAUGCAAGGCAUACGGCUCAGUAACACGUAGUCAACUUACCCUAUGGACGAGGAUAAUCUCGGGAAACUGAGCAUAAUACUCGAUAGAUCAUAAUGCCUGGAAUGGUUUAUGGUUAAAAUGAUUCGUCGCCAUAGGAUGGGACUGCGGCCUAUCAGCUUGUUGGUGAGGUAAUGGCCCACCAAGGCGAUUACAGGUACGGGCUCUGAGAGGAGAAGCCCGGAGAUGGGUACUGAGACAAGGACCCAGGCCCUAUGGGGCGCAGCAGGCGAGAAAACUUUGCAAUGUGCGAAAGCACGACAAGGUUAAUCCGAGUGAUUUCUGCUAAAGAAAUCUUUUGCAAGUCAUAAAACCACUAGUGAAUAAGGGGUGGGCAAGUUCUGGUGUCAGCCGCCGCGGUAAAACCAGCACCUCAAGUGGUCAGGAGGAUUAUUGGGCCUAAAGCAUCCGUAGCCGGCUCUGUAAGUUUUCGGUUAAAUUCAUGUGCUCAACGCAUGAGCCGCCGAAAAUACUGCAUAGCUAGGGAGUGGGAGAGGUAGACGGUACUCGGUAGGAAGGGGUAAAAUCCUUUGAUCUAUCGAUGACCACCUGUGGCGAAGGCGGUCUACCAGAACACGUUCGACGGUGAGGGAUGAAAGCUGGGGGAGCAAACCGGAUUAGAUACCCGGGUAGUCCCAGCUGUAAACGAUGCAGACUCGAUGAUGCAUUGGCAUAUAGCCAGUGCAGUGUCGCAGGGAAGCCGUUAAGUCUGCCGCCUGGGAAGUACGUACGCAAGUAUGAAACUUAAAGGAAUUGGCGGGGGAGCACCACAAGGGGUGAAGCCUGCGGUUCAAUUGGAGUCAACGCCGGG